UACGGGGGGAGCAAGCGUUGUUCGGAUUUACUGGGCGUAAAGGGCGCGUAGGCGGUCGUGACAAGUCACUUGUGAAAUCUCCGGGCUUAACUCGGAACGGUCAAGUGAUACUGUCGGACUAGAGUACAGAAGGGGCAACUGGAAUUCUCGGUGUAGCGGUGAAAUGCGUAGAUAUCGAGAGGAACACCUGCGGCGAAGGCGGGUUGCUGGGCCGAAACUGACGCUGAGGAGCGAAAGCGUGGGUAGCAAACAGG
Molecule: ribosomal RNA, 254 nt
Filed under: uncultured bacterium
Lineage: Bacteria
Description: partial 16S ribosomal RNA
Rfam family: Bacterial small subunit ribosomal RNA
Source: RNAcentral